Molecule: long non-coding RNA, 241 nt
Organism: Rosa rugosa (rugosa rose)
Lineage: Eukaryota; Viridiplantae; Streptophyta; Magnoliopsida; Rosales; Rosaceae
Exons: 3
Source: RefSeq, a predicted model, not a curated record
AAGCUCCAGCCCUUGAGUUCACAUAGAAGUUUUUGCGUCCAAAACGUAGAAAGAAACUAGGCAAGAUGACUAGCGUGUUAUCUGAUCUGAUCAAUACUGAAGAUCUCCUCAAGACUGAUCUGAUCAGCACUGAGAAUGAAAACCAGGAUGAUGUGGUUGCUACUGAAACUGAGAGCCUGGAAGAUGACCCAGUUCAAACAAUUAUAGACGGGUUCAAGCACUUCAAGACCAACUUUUACGA